Molecule: long non-coding RNA, 580 nt
Organism: Hermetia illucens (black soldier fly)
Lineage: Eukaryota; Metazoa; Arthropoda; Insecta; Diptera; Stratiomyidae
Exons: 4
Source: RefSeq, a predicted model, not a curated record
GUCUACCUUGCGAUCAGUUUAUUCACAACGAUCGUCGUGAUUAGACGUGCAAACCAAAACCGCUUCCAAUUAGUUAACAUUUCACUGGGUUCCACCGUUGCCAAGAAAGAAAGUCGUGAAGUUAUACGCAUGACUGACUCAAUCUUGUCGUGUAUACCUAAAUACAUACAUAGUACAGAGCAGUGUAUAUCAGUGAAAAAACUGUGUCUAAUUUUUGUGUAGUUCCUUCAUUAUUAAUUUUUGUUCCGUGAUAGAUAAGAAAUUAUCUAUAAAGUCGAAAAAGUGCUUCUAAGCUAACAGCUUUUUUGUGUUUCCGGAAGAUUGAUACGUUCAAUUUAUCAUUUCGAAACUACGAAGUCACGCAGUCUGGCCGAUAUUUAGGUUAACGAAAAAAGAUUUUCUGGGACUUUGUUACCAGUGACUAUAAACUAAUUGGAAUUCGCCGGUCUGUUCUUGGUUAACAACCUUCAAAUACUCGUUGGGACUCAUCCUACUUUUCUCUGACUAUUACAGACAAAAGGCCUUAAGAGAACAAUAAGGCAGUUCGUGCAUCGUUUAAUAACUUCUAACCCAACAAAAA